This 261-nucleotide long non-coding RNA is filed under the name Pan troglodytes (chimpanzee). RNAcentral describes it as "long non-coding RNA NONPTRT006060". The record is from RNAcentral. Lineage: Eukaryota; Metazoa; Chordata; Mammalia; Primates; Hominidae.
CAUGGCUGACAUUCUCAUAAUUAAACAGUGUUAAUAAUAAAGCUUUGCAGAUUUUAAACAAACUGGCACAGAGGUGGAACGGUUUGCCGUAUUUCAUUUAGAGACCACAGCAAUUAGCCCUUAAUGAACAGUACACAGCGACAUAUAAGGGAGUUAUUUCUACACAUCGUUCAUUUGCCAAAUCACAAAAGGCGACAUUUUCAUUCUGCUGAUUGAAAAUGAUUCUCAGGAUUUCUUCUGAAGGCCUCUUAAGUAAUUGCA